This is a long non-coding RNA of Tachysurus fulvidraco (yellow catfish), 587 nucleotides long. RefSeq lists it as uncharacterized. The transcript has 4 exons. NCBI's taxonomy places the organism in Eukaryota, Metazoa, Chordata, Actinopteri, Siluriformes, Bagridae. The record is from RefSeq and is a predicted model, not a curated record.
AAAGCAUUUUCUUUUCCUGCCAUUUAUUUCUUUAGUUUAAAAUAAUAAUGUAUAUUUUUAUUUAAUAAGGUGUAAUCCUUCUGGAGCCAGAAGAACUUUAAGCCAAGUCAAAAUAAAACACAAACAUUCUGCAAAAAGGUAAUAUUUGAUUACACAAUUACUGAACUAUUAUUAUAUCAGGAUUUAGUAUAUUCAUUCUGUCAUGUAGCUAAUAGAAAGAAGACAGAAGCCCGUCUAACUGGCGGGGGCCCACCACCACCUCCCCUCACCCCAUCUGAUCAGUGGUUGCUGGCAUUCCAGGGGGCAGUUCCUUGCACAAACCAUGCACCACAAGUGAUGGUGAAAAAAUGGUGAAAUAUAAUGUAUACUUGAAUAUUUCUCCUGGACGAUGAAGAGACCACAUCUGCGGUGACAGAAGUGGACAAUGCUAGUAAAUCCACUGAGUACAUACCUAGGGAUUUGCCCACAGAUGAGGGUCCUUGAACCUCAGCACACAAUCUAAGCAGGUUGCCAGCAAAGGAGCUGUAUAAGGUCCAUCUUCAAAGACAAAUAAGAAAAAGUGACAUGUGACAUGGAGAUGGACCUUA